AUACGUAGGGGGCGAGCGUUGUCCGGAAUGAUUGGGCGUAAAGGGCGCGUAGGCGGCGCGGUAAGUCUGGAGUGAAAGUCCUGCUUUCAAGGUGGGAAUUGCUUUGGAUACUGCCGCGCUUGAGUGCAGGAGAGGUUAUCGGAAUUCCCGGUGUAGCGGUGAAAUGCGUAGAGAUCGGGAGGAACACCAGUGGCGAAGGCGGGUAACUGGACUGCAACUGACGCUGAGGCGCGAAAGUGUGGGGAGCAAACAGGAUUAGAUACCCUGGUAGUCCACACUGUAAACGAUGAAUGCUAGGUGUAAGAGGUAUCGACCCCUUGUGUGCCGGAGUCAACACAAUAAGCAUUCCGCCUGGGGAGUACGGCCGCAAGGUUGAAACUCAAAGGAAUUGGCGGGG
RNAcentral lists this ribosomal RNA (397 nucleotides) under uncultured bacterium. Its description in RNAcentral is "partial 16S ribosomal RNA". It matches the Rfam family "Bacterial small subunit ribosomal RNA", at positions 523 to 918 of the family's 1533-position model. The record is from RNAcentral.